Molecule: long non-coding RNA, 458 nt
Filed under: Homo sapiens (human)
Lineage: Eukaryota; Metazoa; Chordata; Mammalia; Primates; Hominidae
Description: HSALNT0323601
Source: RNAcentral
CUCUUCGUCAGGAGUUCUCAAUGGCCCCCAAGGUGCCUUUGUUUCCUCAAGGGGUUUUCAUAGCAUCCUCAGCUGUGGAAGGCAAUGUAUCGCAUCCUGUAUUACCUUCCCCUGACCUCAUAGCUUCCCAAAACAGGAACAAUCAUGGGCUUUGAAGUUACAGGAAUGCAGAUGUGAUUCCUAUGGAUGAGGGUAACCUAGAGGCUAGAAGAACAAUAGGACAGAAGAAGCCUGGGUCCCUGAACAACCUUGUGGAGCAUAGACACCUACGUGGCCUGGACUGCCAGCUCACAAUGGGCCUCUCUGUGAGAGAAGGAAACUUCCCUCUUGUUUAAGCAACUGUGCUUUUGAGAAUCUCUUGGUCUAUACCCUAAUGAAUAAGGCCAUCAUAAAUGGAUAUCAAAGUAAGGAAAUUUGUGUAAAUGAUUUAAUAAAACAUUACCUCAGGUAUGAAAUAA